This 691-nucleotide ribosomal RNA is filed under the name uncultured fungus. Its description in RNAcentral is "SSU rRNA". It matches the Rfam family "Eukaryotic small subunit ribosomal RNA", at positions 328 to 1023 of the family's 1831-position model. The record is from RNAcentral. Lineage: Eukaryota; Fungi.
GUAGAGUAGUGGUCUACCAUGGGGGCAACGGGUAACGGGGAAUUAGGGUUCUAUUCCGGAGAGGAAGCCUGAGAAACGGCUACCACAUCCAAGGAAGGCAGCAGGCGCGCAAAUUACCCAAUCCCGACACGGGGAGGUAGUGACAAUAAAUACUGAUACAGGGCUCUUUUGGGUCUUGUAAUUGGAAUGAGUACAAUUUAAAUCCCUUAACGAGGAACAAUUGGAGGGCAAGUCUGGUGCCAGCAGCCGCGGUAAUUCCAGCUCCAAUAGCGUAUAUUAAAGUUGUUGCAGUUAAAAAGCUCGUAGUUGAACCUUGGGCCUGGCUGGCCGGUCCGCUCACCGCGUGCACUGGUCCGGCCGGGCCUUUCCUUCUGGGGAGCCGCAUGCCCUUCACUGGGUGUGUCGGGGAACCAGGACUUUUACUUUGAAAAAAUUAGAGUGUUCAAAGCAGGCCUAUGCUCGAAUACAUUAGCAUGGAAUAAUAGAAUAGGACGUGUGGUUCUAUUUGUGGUUUCUAGGACCGCGUAAUGAUUUAAUAGGGAUAGUCGGGGGGCAUCAGUAUUCAAUUGUCCAGAGGUGAAUUCUGGGAUUUAUUGAGAAUAACUUACUGGAAGCAUUGGCAGGAUGUUUUCAUUAUCAGGUGACGAAAGUUAGGGGGGAUCGGAAGAACGGAUCCAGAUUACCGUCGUUA